Molecule: ribosomal RNA, 525 nt
Filed under: Triticum aestivum (bread wheat)
Lineage: Eukaryota; Viridiplantae; Streptophyta; Magnoliopsida; Poales; Poaceae
Description: partial small subunit ribosomal RNA
Source: RNAcentral
AUGGAGAUUGACCAGGACAAGUGCACGCUGACGGUGGUCGGCACCGUCGAUCCGGUGCGGCUCCUGCAGUGUCUCAGGAAGUCGUGCUUCGCCGCAGUUAUCAUCAGCGUCGCAGACGACAAGCCAAAGGAGCCAGAGAAGAAGAAGGACCCCUGCCAGGAGGCCUGCGAGAAGGCCUGCAAGGACAAGUGCGAGAUGGCUUGCAAGGAGGCGUGCUGCAAGAAUAAGUGUGAGAUGGCUACUUGCAAUGAGGCGUGCUGCAAGAAGAAGUGCGUGAUGAUUACUUGCAACGAGGCGUGCUGCAAGAAGAAGUGCGACAUGGCUACUUGCAAUGAGGCGUGCUGCAAGAAGGUGACGCCGUCCUGCUACCCGUCCCGCUGCACGCCGGACUGCGACUCCAGCCCCUGUGGCCUGCCCAGCUGCCGCUUCUACAUCUACGGCUGCGUCGUGCGCAAGCCGCCACUGGGACACGGCUGCAACAAGGGGAGGUCACGCGGACUCAGAGGAGAAUGCGGCAUCCAGUAG